Molecule: ribosomal RNA, 408 nt
Filed under: uncultured Actinomycetes bacterium
Lineage: Bacteria; Bacillati; Actinomycetota; Actinomycetes
Description: bacterial SSU rRNA
Rfam family: Bacterial small subunit ribosomal RNA
Source: RNAcentral
GAGUUUGAUCGUGGCUCAGGACGAACGCUGGCGGCGUGCUUAACACAUGCAAGUCGAACGGUGACCCGAAGCUUGCUUCGGUGAUCAGUGGCGAACGGGUGAGUAACACGUGAGCAACCUACCCUUGACUCUGGGAUAACAGCUGGAAACAGCUGCUAAUACCGGAUACGACCUCGACCGACAUCAGUUGAGGUGGAAAGUUCCGGCGGUCAAGGAUGGGCUCGCGGCCUAUCAGCUAGUUGGUGAGGUAACGGCUCACCAAGGCUUCGACGGGUAGCCGGCCUGAGAGGGCGACCGGCCACACUGAGACUGAGAUACGGCCCAGACUCCUACGGGAGGCAGCAGUGGGGAAUAUUGCACAAUGGGCGAAAGCCUGAUGCAGCAACGCCGCGUGCGGGAUGACGGCCU